UGGGGAAUUUUGGACAAUGGGGGAAACCCUGAUCCAGCCAUCCCGCGUGUGCGAUGAAGGCCUUCGGGUUGUAAAGCACUUUUGGCAGGAAAGAAACGUCAUGGGUUAAUACCCCGUGAAACUGACGGUACCUGCAGAAUAAGCACCGGCUAACUACGUGCCAGCAGCCGCGGUAAUACGUAGGGUGCAAGCGUUAAUCGGAAUUACUGGGCGUAAAGCGUUCGCAGGCGGUUCGGAAAGAAAGAUGUGAAAUCCCAGAGCUCAACUUUGGAACUGCAUUUUUAACUACCGGGCUAGAGUGUGUCAGAGGGAGGUGGAAUUCCGCGUGUAGCAGUGAAAUGCGUAGAUAUGCGGAGGAACACCGAUGGCGAAGGCAGCCGCCUGGGAUAACACUGACGCUCAUGCACGAAAGCGUGGGGAGCAAACAGG
RNAcentral lists this ribosomal RNA (429 nucleotides) under Acidobacteriota bacterium. RNAcentral's name for it is "Acidobacteria bacterium partial 16S ribosomal RNA". It matches the Rfam family "Bacterial small subunit ribosomal RNA", at positions 355 to 776 of the family's 1533-position model. Lineage: Bacteria; Pseudomonadati; Acidobacteriota. The record is from RNAcentral.